GAUGAACGCUAGCGGCAGGCUUAAUACAUGCAAGUCGAGGGGCAACAGGGGUAGCAAUACCUGCUGGCGACCGGCAAACGGGUGCGGAACACGUACAGAACCUUCCUUUAAGUUGGAGAUAGCCCGGAGAAAUCCGGAUUAAUACCUAAUAGUAUUAUGGUGUGGCAUCACAUUAUAAUUAAAGCCUUGGCGCUUAGAGAUGGCUGUGCGUAUGAUUAGGUAGUUGGGCGGGUAACGGCCCACCAAGCCUUCGAUCAUUAACUGGUGUGAGAGCACGACCAGUCACACGGGCACUGAGACACGGGCCCGACUCCUACGGGAGGCAGCAGUAAGGAAUAUUGGUCAAUGGACGCAAGUCUGAACCAGCCAUGCCGCGUGAAGGNUGAAGGUCCUCUGGAUUGUAAACUUCUUUUAUGUGGGAAGAACCCGGAUUCUUUUCGGUGACGUACAUAGGAAUAAGCACCGGCUAACUCCGU
RNAcentral lists this ribosomal RNA (476 nucleotides) under uncultured bacterium. Its description in RNAcentral is "bacterial SSU rRNA". It matches the Rfam family "Bacterial small subunit ribosomal RNA", at positions 28 to 506 of the family's 1533-position model. The record is from RNAcentral.